This 150-nucleotide non-coding RNA is filed under the name Paramoeba aestuarina. The record is from RNAcentral. Lineage: Eukaryota; Discosea; Flabellinia; Dactylopodida; Paramoebidae.
AAAGAACAAGAAGAAUCGUAAGGAGAAGAAGAAGAAUGCCAAACUCUCUCUUCCUCUCUUUUCUCUUCACUGUUCCCCUCUUCCCUCUCUCUCUUUCUCCCUCUCUCUUUUCCCCCUUAUCCUUUUCUUUGAAAUCACACGUAGGGAGGU